GGUAAAAUGGCUGAAUUAUAGGUAAUAAACUGUAAAUUUAUUUAUGAGAAAAUUUCUCUUUUACCA
RNAcentral lists this transfer RNA (66 nucleotides) under Fibla maclachlani. Its description in RNAcentral is "tRNA-Tyr". Lineage: Eukaryota; Metazoa; Arthropoda; Insecta; Raphidioptera; Inocelliidae. The record is from RNAcentral.